RNAcentral lists this ribosomal RNA (425 nucleotides) under uncultured cyanobacterium. RNAcentral's name for it is "bacterial SSU rRNA". It matches the Rfam family "Bacterial small subunit ribosomal RNA", at positions 356 to 795 of the family's 1533-position model. Lineage: Bacteria; Bacillati; Cyanobacteriota. The record is from RNAcentral.
GGGGAAUUUUCCGCAAUGGGCGAAAGCCUGACGGAGCAAUACCGCGUGAGGGAUGAAGGCCUAUGGGUUGUAAACCUCUUUUUUCAGGGAGGAAUCAAUGACGUGUACUUGAAGAAUAAGCAUCGGCUAACUCCGUGCCAGCAGCCGCGGUAAGACGGAGGAUGCAAGUGUUAUCCGGAAUCACUGGGCGUAAAGCGUCUGUAGGUGGUCCAAUAAGUCAACUGUUAAAUCUUGAGGCUCAACCUCAAAAUCGCAGUCGAAACUAUUAGACUAGAGUAUAGUAGGGGUAAAGGGAAUUUCCAGUGGAGCGGUGAAAUGCGUAGAGAUUGGAAAGAACACCGAUGGCGAAGGCACUUUACUGGGCUAUUACUAACACUCAGAGACGAAAGCUAGGGUAGCAAAUGGGAUUAGAUACCCCAGUAGUC